CCGUCCGCACCGUUUACUGUAUAAUCACAGUGGGGGAAAAAGAGCAGGCAACAAAACUAAAGCUUUUUUACGGCAAAGCCACUGCUGCCAUGUAAAUAACCGCCAGGGAAACAAAGGGGGUAUAUCAACAGGGAUCGUUUUAGGUGUGAUGAAACAAAGGAACAAAGGAUGCCUUAGAAGAGAGGCAGUGACGAAAGGCUGGAACCUGCUUGAAAGCACACCAGAUGGAUCUAUUGCUCCACUUUCCACCCAGAUCAUGAUACUUGGCUAAAGCUUUAAGCAUUCUCUAUGAUCCCUCCUCCAUCUAUGGCGAACUAUAGCCAUGCAGGGGACCACAACAUCUUGCAGAAUGUCUCUCCGCUUGCCACUUUUCUUAAACUGACCUCCUUGGGUUUCAUCAUUGGCGUCGGCGUGGUGGGAAACCUCCUGAUCUCCAUCCUGCUGGUCAAAGACAAGAGCCUUCAUCGAGCACCCUACUACUUCCUGUUGGACCUCUGCGCCUCUGACAUACUCCGCUCAGCCAUCUGCUUCCCGUUCGUGUUCACCUCUGUGAAAAAUGGCUCGGCCUGGACGUACGGCACGCUGACCUGCAAAGUGAUCGCCUUUUUGGGCGUGCUCUCCUGUUUCCACACUGCCUUCAUGCUGUUCUGCGUCAGCGUGACGCGAUACCUGGCGAUCGCCCACCAUCGCUUUUACACCAAGCGGUUGACCUUCUGGACAUGCCUGGCUGUCAUAUGCAUGGUGUGGACCCUGUCGGUAGCCAUGGCAUUUCCACCGGUGCUGGACGUGGGCACGUACUCCUUCAUACGAGAGGAGGACCAGUGCACCUUCCAGCACCGGUCCUUCCGUGCCAAUGACUCGUUGGGUUUCAUGCUGCUCCUUGCACUUAUUCUCCUGGCCACCCAGCUCGUCUACCUCAAGCUCAUUUUUUUCGUCCACGACCGCCGAAAGAUGAAGCCCGUCCAGUUCGUGCCUGCCGUCAGCCAAAACUGGACCUUCCACGGCCCGGGUGCGAGCGGCCAGGCCGCCGCCAACUGGCUGGCCGGGUUUGGCCGAGGACCCACGCCUCCCACCCUGCUGGGAAUCCGGCAGAACAGCAAUGCGGCGGGCCGCAGGCGUCUCUUGGUGCUCGAUGAGUUUAAGACUGAAAAGAGGAUAAGCAGGAUGUUCUACAUCAUCACCUUCUUCUUCCUGAGUCUAUGGGGACCCUACCUGGUGGCCUGUUACUGGAGGGUGUUCGCCAGGGGUCCGGUGAUACCGGGAGGCUACCUGACGGCAGCCGUGUGGAUGAGCUUCGCUCAGGCGGGAGUUAACCCCUUCAUCUGCAUCUUCUCCAACCGGGAGCUCAGACGUUGCUUCAGCACCACGCUCCUCUAUUGCAGAAAAUCCAGGUUACCUAGGGAACCCUACUGUGUUAUAUGAAGGCUCCGUGUUGCGUUGAUGUGGUCUCUUUUUGGAUGCCCUGACCGAUCAGGGAUGUGUUCUGUUGUACAGCUAUCUCCCUCUUCUCCUCCUCCUCCCUUUCCGAGGCCUGUAGUCGAACUGUCAGCUCGAAUGGAAUAAGCAAGGACAGAGGACAGGUCCUGCGUUUAUGUUCUAGUAAACCGUUAAUGCGAAAGGCCAUUUGAAACCCAAUAAGCAAAAAAAAGAAAAAAAUUACAAAAUGAAAGAAAAGAAAAGAAAAAAAAGGAUAAAUACACAAGGGACUGACCUUUGCUUUGGAUAUUUUGAAGACUGAGGGGUGUUGAAUAAACAGGUACCUUAAAGGAACCAGUGUAAUUGUUUCGUGUUUAAAAGUUGCACUAAAGUGAAGACAUGAAGAUUUUUUUCUCGCCGAGGUGCAUUGCAAGGAUGUCUUGUUUUUAUUUCCAAACUGAAAUAUACGAAUGCUUUAACUUGCAACAGACUUCUCUAUCACUGUAAGUAAACAAAACUUGUGAGGUGACUAACUCUGUUGGAAUACACCUUCACGAGAGGAUAAAUUGGUUUAAAUAAUCUCUCUUCUCCACACGUGAGAUUAAUGUGAGCGGACAGAACAGAACCAUCGAAUUGCAUCUUCAAAGGCUGUGUCGGAUGGCAGUGGGGUGGCCACCUCUGGUCCAGUCUCAUCAGGGCACUGGGCCGCGUUGGCUUUUAUCGGCACAAUAUGCUUCUGUGUUCCUCUCGAUGAUGCACCUGGUCGCCAGCGGGCGAUGAGCUGACUGAGGUUCACUGGUUUGUGGCCCUCUGACACCCACAGCCAGGCACCGAUUAACGCACAGGCUUGUCUAGGCUAUAGCCUAGGGGCCCCACCUGUUUAGGGGCCUCUGAUUGGCCAGAUUUUUUUUAUUUUAAAUUUAUAAAACAAUAAGAAAUAAAACAAAAGAUAAGCUGGUGAUUGGAUAGAUGUGACAUUUGGGUCACAUCUGUCCAAUCAGGUGCUUGUGAAAUCAUGGCACUUGUUUUCAUUUACGUCACUGCUAUUGCUAGACGGCAUAGCAGCAAAACGUCCGAAAGAAUGUACAAUAGUGGAGCACAAAUAUGAAAAAUACAAAGGUUAAAAGAACAACGUGACCAAGAUAGCUGACUGGCAAAUCGCAGCCAUUGGCUAACAUCGGUGCUGCGGUUGAAACAACUGCAGCGGGAUCCUUAGCUGUUGCAGAAGUUAGCUCAUCAUGUCAUCGGUAAUAUUUCAGGGAGUUAUUCCACAAUGACACAUAUUAUACAGGUUGGUUUUAUGACUAUGGUUUCAUACACAGUUUAUGUAAUGCACAGUGGUUUGUGUCUCAGUAAAAAAAAGCGUUUUUAGGGGCCGUUCAUAAUUCCUGUACACUUGUAUAAAACUGGAGCUUGCGCUCUCCUGGUGUUUGCCGUUGCAAAGCAACCAGGAAUGUAGAGGAAACACCGUAGUAUUUGCUGUCUCGUUGUGUGUGUAUCCGAGUGCGAUUGUUCCCGACGCCCCUCGAACGUUGGUUUGGUGUCUCAGCUUGAUUCUAUCGAACCCUGGUGCGUUUGCAUUCAUCUUACGUCAUCACGAACGUGCAUGACACAUGAUGGUAAACAGAACACGGUCCAAUAGGCUAUAUUGUGUUUUUUCGGUACCCUGAUGCGCACCUGAGUUUGCGUGACAGCUUUUACACAGCUUUUUACGUGCCCCGUUUCCGAACUAAACUGCAAGCGUGCAAAGCACCUGAAAGCCACCUAAGGGGGGGCCUCACCCAAAGAGCAGACUAGGGGCCCCUGACCACCUUAAUCCGCCCCUGCCCACAGCCCCCAGUCGAAUAUUAAACCACUGUAGCGAAAGAACUUCAAGAAGAAAUCGAGGUGCACAACUUCCAAUGUUUAUGAUUUCUGUGCAAGCUCUCAGAUUGAAUUUGCUCAUUUUAAUUGGGUGUACCGAAUGCAGCACGCUCCCUAAACAAACACUGGGAAUUGAGCUUUGCGGUCUUCCAAGUGCAAUGAGUCUUAUCGCACAUCGACAAAUGGAAAGUGCAACGAGGAGAAGCUGUAAAAUUAUCCGUGUAUUCAUAGGAAACGAUUCAAUCUCAGCUAUAAUGAGUUAUCACACACAACCUGGGUUCAUAGAUAGAACGCUAGAAGCAAAAUUAUUAUUAUUUUAAAGACCAACACAGAGUUGUUUUCUAUACAACAUUUUUGUGUUGUUUUAAUAAAUGAUGGAGUCAAGUGAUCCUAAAAGCAGCAGUAACUGAUGUUAGUGUAAUGGACCAUACUGUAAAGUUUAUUAGCUUUUUGCCUUCUGCCGGGCUUUCUGCUUACCUCGGUUUUGCUGAUGUUGCAAUACCAAUUUGAACAACCAGCUGGCGAGGGAGCAGACGCAAAAUCACGUGGUCUUGAUGUUUGCACAUAAUGCAUUUAUUUAUGAAAAUCUAAAUUUGAAAGUAUUAUCAUAGUUUAAUACGGCAUGAUAUUGUAUCAAUAGUCUCAUGCAAAAAAAGCUACAUUAAAUAUUAAAUAAGAUUAUAUUAUAAUAUAUAAAUGAAAUUGUUUCUACAAAUAUGAAAAUUCUCAACUCAUCUUUAUGCCAUCCUAGAUAUAUAUUUUCCUUUUUUAGUUAAACACUAAAAUCAUUAACUACCAUAGUAGUCUGCGGCACCUUUGACUGCCUUUUUAAAUUUUUCUACUAUGGUUGUCAGUGAUGACACGUGAGAACCAACGAGAAUUGAUUUUUUUCAUUUAUUAUUUGGAUUACUUUAAUUAAUUACUUUUGGAUUACUUUUUGAUGAAUGUGCUUUAGCUUCAACAUUAUGGAACUCAUAAAAGUAUAAAAUGAUUUCUUUGUGUUUAUCUGAGGAAGAGAAGUCAUAAACACCUUGGAUGGCAUGAGGAUGAUUAAAUUGACAGAAUUUUCAUAUUUGGGUGAACUGUCAUGUCCCUUCUCAUUCCCAGUCUGGUUGGACACAAUGUUUAUGUGCACUUUUCUUUUUUUUCCACAAAAUGUGGCGAACACAACGAAAGGAUAUUGAGGAUCUGUAGGCGUAGAAUCGACGCCUCCUCGAGUUGCAGCUAUGCUUAUCUCAGUCAACAGGCUGCGGAGAGUGACACACGCUUUUGUCUCGGCCCACGUGCGCUUCUUAAACGCUCUCGUUCCCUAACGCUCCUCUUCUUCUUCUACAGCCAUCCAAAGCCCAGCACCCCUCAGCCUCCUCAUCACCCACUUACGCCAACUUUGGGUGGCCAAUUAGCACAUUGACAUCGCAAUGAAACGACAAGGGCUGAAAGCCAAGAAGAGAAGAACACACGGUAAAACCAAACAGAGUUACCCUUGCUUACCGUAAUCCAUGUGCCUGACAGUUGCUACGUGACUUUCUUGUCAGAACAAGGGCUCUUGCUGUAAAAGUGGUGAUAGCUUUGUGAAUCGGGAGAAGCACUCUUGCCUGCAAACCCGAUGCCAACGCACGCCGCUUGACACCCAAUGCGGAAUACCUUAUGCAGAUCAUUCCGCAAUAGUAAACCACGGAGCGCAGUCCUCUGGGCAUGUUCAUUAGGCAUAGCUGUGCUUUGUUCAGCACAAAUUUUUGAUUGCGUCUUCUUAGGCAUAAUGUGGUUGUUGCUGAUUUCAUGGUAGCGGGACUAAAAUGAAACCUGGCAAGCAUGAUUAGUGAAAUUGACACAGCGAGGAGCGGACAUUUCCAUAGCCUGCUCAAUGUAUUGUUCAACAGGCGCUAUCAUUGUUAAUAACAGCUUUUUCUUGUGUCAUCUAAUGAACGGCCAAAAGGUUUCUGUCUCCGGCAAAUGAAGAUGUAUGGCACCACAUUUCCUUCAGUGCAAGGAGCUCUGUGGAUUUCCUUGGAAGUGAUUUUUCUUUACAGCACCCAAGUGGAUGGGAACAUUUGUGCAGGGCUGAACCAAUGUGAAUUGUAAAUUAUUGUGUUUUUUUACAUAAAACAGCAGAAGAUUGAAUAUAUUAGCAUAAACGUAUCAACAUUAGUUGAAAUUAUUUUUUUGGCGUCACUAGCUUUAUCUUUCUGACUGUACGAACUCUUCGACAUACCUGGCAACAUCAGGAAACUGUAAACCAGAAUUGACAGCUAGUUACACUUUUAAGUCAAUGUUGUGUGAUAAUCGCAAUUCAGUAAUCUGAUAUCAGCAUUUGAGGUUGGACAUGAACACACAAGUGAGAUUUUACUGCAGUAGAAUGUUUACCUUCGGAAGUUUAUGUAGCCAAAUGAAGGGAGGUAUUUCUUUGUCAUAGCGCCUAAAAGUUUUAAAACCAUUUCACAGGCGAUAAGAAAUGUUUAUGGCCCGUACAUUUUCUCAAUUCGCCAGCCAUCGGCAGGUGGGACAAAAAGUAAUAUUUCGACCUCGCUUGUAAGGCUUUCCAUUAUACAUUGUGUUAAAUCUGUUUACCGAGAUGGAAAGUGGAAUGUAACGCGGUGGAAAGAUUAAUGGGCGAGCUAAGCAACCACCGCAAAUGAUUUUUCAAAACAAAUUUGUACAUUGAUUCCCUCAGGUUAUGGAGCAAGGGAGCGGGUUUAAUUGGGAAGAUGCCUUAGAAUACAAGCUCACCUGGAAAGGAGUAUUUUUACUCUGUCUUCACUCUCUCUCUCUCUCUCUCUCUCUCUCUCUCUCUUCUUUAUCUCAGUCUGUCAGAGAGGUCCUGUAAUCACAUCAUCUCUUAUCAGUCAUUCUCACUGUUUCUGCCAUCCCAGAAUGCUCAGCUCUCAAGUCUCCAGGUUAUCUGCAGUAAGGACAGGAACACCGCUCGCCACUGAAUGUGGUGUUCUUAGAUUUCCAUUUGACUAUUUUAAACUAUUUCAUUAAACUAAUUUGCAUGUUUCAGCACAGAUAUUACGAUGCAUUUGGAAUAAAAUGCAGCGUUGGAUGCGUGUUUACGUUUUGUAUUCGCUGAUGUAGACAUGCUUGUGUUUUUUUGCCCGAUGUCUCAUUUAUAUUACCAAUUCCAAAUCAUGACUCAGAUCAGCAAGCUGCCCGCAUCCACAUUUGCUCUAAAAAUCGUAUUCUUAAGUGGGUCACAUCUUGGGAAACUUUGGCCUGGUUUGCCAGUUGGACCUACUGUAAUUAGGACAAAAGGAGGGCAGAAACUGGGCACAUUUCCCCAAAACCUGACUCACAAAUUACAACUACACAGUUGGGCAGUCCCACCAAAUUUGGGUCUGGGCUGCCGUUGAGCCUAAUCAUCUUAACUAUGAGUUCAACACAUUCUCAGAAAUGAAAAUACUCGUUCUACAGAACAAGUGUCAAUUUUGCUUCAUAUACGUGUGUGAAAAAAUGAAUUUAAUAUCGAAUAGCUUUGCCAACUUUUGAGGUCACUGCAUUCUCUCUAAACUCACCCGUAGUAAUGUAAAGUAGUAUCUUGAUGCUAGUAUAAUAAUUCAUUAUGUUCUUUUAUAUCUCUUAGUCUGUCAUAACACACAUAGCUUUUUCUCGCUUAUAUUAAACACAUUUUAAAAAUAAUACAAAAGGCGUUAUUUCACAUUUUAGUAGUAGUUGACACGUUUAAAAAUAGUUGGCAUCAUAUUUUUUUGUUUUUAAGAAUUCCCUGAAUCUAAAAAAUAAACAUAUUUGAAAGAAAGAAAAUGUUAAACUAAAGUUUUAUUAACCUGAGCAUAAAACUAAUAAUGGCUAAUUAAAUUGUCAACCCUGUUACCUACUAAUACAUAAUUAUAUCUCAGCAAACAUUAAAAUACAGUAAUUUAGUCAAAGAGCACAUUGCAAUAUGUUAACACACACACACACAUAUGCAUACUGUAUAUACACGCAAAUACAAUCUUUAAAAGCUUAGAAACUAUGCCUUUAAAAUCCUGUGGCGAAUUGGAAAAGGUACCGUUUCAUAAAAUGACCCAGAAAAUCAAAAGGAAAGUUUGCCAAGUGAGCUGUGCCCAGAGGCUGAUCUCUAAAAUAUAUUUUGCAGAAAGUUCAAUGCAAUAUACAGAGAGCCAGUUAACAGAAAUGUCUGCAUUGAAGGCGGCGCUUUUAUGGAUUUGCAGCUGUAUUAAAUGAGCUGUGUUGAUGGCUUUGUGCCUAGAGUGAUAAAAAGUUUUUUUUUGCUAUGCCAGGCUUCAGUGGUACAGGUACCCUAAGUACUCGCCUUGAUGGGCCCUGUCCAUUUUAAGGCUCUCUUUUGCUCUAGUGGAGAUGAAUAGGCUGAGAUUGUGCUGAAGUGCCCUGAAUCAACCCCGUGGAAAUGUUCACUUUGCUCGACAGAGUAAGGUCACUCUCGAUGGAGGGGAGGGGGGCCGUCCUGCUUGCGCAUUGCGACUGGCUAAUCCAACAGCUAGUCCAGAUCACAUUUAUGAGUUUUGUCCUCUAAGUUUCAACCCUGUUGGUUCUAGGCAAGAAGCAUCCCUCAGAUGACCUGUUGUUUGGACCAGAGAAAGAACGUGCCCGAAACACAUGCCGGAUCACAGUGUACCCCAACAGCUGUUGUGACGGUGAAUUUUCAUUUUUCUCUGCACUUGAGGGGUUGCUAUGGUGACAGUCGGCCAUGUUGGCCUUGAUGUUUUCACAGUCCUUUCUAAUUAUGCUCGGCAGUUUGAAAUGACUCAGGACGUUUCGGUGCGCCGUGAAAAUGCUUUUGACAGCACAGACCCCUGUGAAAGAAACCGCGGACAAUACACGCCACAAAAACCAGAUGACUUAUUUGAAUCUAAUAUGUGGCAUAUUUACAUGUUUAAUCUUUGGCCAUAACAUUUUAAGGAUUUUAUCUUUAUUUUUAUUUGAUCUAUUAGAUAUUAAUUGGACUGAGAAAAUUGGUGUUUUUAUAACAGGUGGUUGGAGGGGUUAAGAAAAGGAGGCUCGAUGCAGAAAAGGACAUUUCUGAGAGGGAAGCAAGAUUUACAUUUAAGCAUUUAGCAGACACUUUUAUCCAAAGUUAGUCGACUUACAAAAGUGACAAAAGUGAGAAGUGCUACGAAGAAAUUCAUCCUAAAGAUGCUAACGUGCAAUGUUAAGAAAUAAUAUACAUGCAAAGGGGGGAGAAAGAAACAAAUAAGAUAUUUAAGAUAUUACAGUACAUUCUGAUAAAAGAUUACUGAAAAGCUUUUUAUAAAUAAUAUAAACGGAUCAUUUGUGCAUGAAGUUCAUAAUUCUGCCCUGAAAAUUAACAUUGUAACUUGCUUUGAAAUACCACAAAAAUCACACGAUUUAGUUUAUAAAUUGGCUUCGUAGUUAAAAACACUUUUUUAAAAAAAGUUUAUUUUCUUAUUAUUUUCUUAUGAGGCAAACCACUGCUGAGGUGCCCGCACUCUCACAGCAUCACAGGAAGAGUCCGCUGAAACCAGCCCUUCAGGCUAGCCAUUUAUUUUUAACUCGUCUUCCUCGUCCCACCGUCUGUAAAAAUCGCUCAUGGCUCUCCAUUAGCGAUGUCACGUGGAUGGCAACAAGCGGCCAAGAGUCUUUUUUCCAGGUAUCCAAUCAACUCCAAGCUACACGUUAAGAGUGAAACCCAGAAGGUUAUGAUGUGGCCUUAUGGCUUCAUUUCAGUCAAAUCUCUCUGUUAGCAUAGACCAGUGUGGACUAGCCUACAUUUCAUGGUUUUAGGUUCAAAUUAAGUAAGUCUGGUUUCAUAUUUUAUAAAGAAACUUAAUAUAUUGGCUAGGACAACACAUACAGAUCUCAAACAAACUGGUAGAAUUGAAUGUGUUGACAAGAUUUGUUGACAGAACCAAUGAGAUCUAUGCUAUUUUGGCACACUGGGUCCAGGCCUCCCAGAUAUGCCGUGUUUCAGUUUUAAGAGCCGAAGUCUAUCUGGAGAGCAGAACGUCCAGGCUUAGAUCCAGCAGAGAAACUGACACCCACUUUUUAGCAACAUCUCGGACACAUUAACCAUCUCUGGUUAAUACUCCGAGUGUGUGGCCACCCCAAGAGAGGAUUGCAUUAAAACAGCGCCCCAUGACGCUCGUGAUAUACGGUACGUGAGCGCGCGUGAGGCCUUUUUUGCUAUUCAUUCUCCGAGCAAUCAAGCAUCUCAUCCGUAGUGUCUAUUUUGUCAUUACCGAUUUAAUGAACCGUGAAAGUGGCUCGCUAGCUCACCUUGAGCGUGUGUGCAUCUGAACGUGAGCGUGUGCGAAUGGGAGGUGUGUCAAGCGCCUGACCAGCUGACCAAUCAUAAGUGAAGGAUUGAUUCAUUGCUGUUCAGUGGGUGGAUGUCAUUGCAUUAGAUAAAAUAUCUGGCUUGAUUUUUUGUUAAAAUGACAUCCUUUAGACUUUUUCGUCCAGGCAAUAGAAUUCAUACAUUUUUAAACAUGACUUAGAUGCCCAAAUACUUUUUUAGUAGGCCAUUGUAAUAAAGGACAGGUGGAUUUCCAUCACGCCCUAUGGCGACUGCGUAUCUUUAACACAGAAGAAUAAUCGCAUAGCUGUUUUUUGGCUACGAGUCAAGCCCCCCCACACGUUCAUUCUAUCCGUCUCUAUCUAUAUAAAUGUCGGCAUCCCUUGCACUGCUGAAAAAGCUCCCAGGAGGCUGAACGCUGUCUGGUUUAGGGGAGAGGAAAAUCACUGGGCCGGGCACGACGCAGGAGGUGGGUAAGUGCCGUUUGGCUCGUUUUUUUCCCUCACGCUUUCCCUGACUCUGCCUUCUGUAGCUGCAGAGCGCUGGGAGACGUGAAGGGUGAUGAAUGGCACUGUUCAUGUUUUGGGAUGAGAGGUGUUCCCUCCCGAAAGCUUUCAGGGAGACGUGUCAUCGCUCUUGUCUGCCUGGUCAGUAAAGCGCAAUUCGAAGUGCGACUGCAGGGCUGUGUUUUAUUUAUUAAUUUUGAAAGUCUGCUUACACAAUAGAUAAAGAGAGUAUGAUUUGGAAAAAACUGGAUUUACCAGUUGUGGUGCAUUUCUUAUCCCAUCUGUUUAGUUGAUAGGAAAGUUAUUCCAGAACACAGAUGGAGGAAUGAAGUAAGCAAUCUUAUUUCCCUUUAAAGGUCCAAUGUAUUGACAGAAAUGCAAUAUAAUAUGCAUAACUAUGUCUUCAGAGGUGUAUAAAGACCUUACAUAAUGAAGCGUUAUGUUUUUAUUAUCUUAGAAUGAGCUAUUUCUGUCUACAUACACCGCGGGUCCCCGUGCAUGGAAUUCGUCGUGUUGUUUCUACAGUAGAUCUAAACGGACAAACUGCUCUGCAGAGCGUUUCAUAAAUACUGUAUGUUAUCUCCUUCAGCAAAGACGCAAGAUGACAACAUAUUAGUCCUGUGUCAGCCACCGUAGUGCUUCGAAAAAGAGAGGGGAGUGGUGGAGUGAGCCUUGGGCUGCAAUUCACAACCUCACCACUAGAUGUCGCUAAAUGUCAUACACAAGACCUUUAAUGCAAUAAAAAUGGCAUUUUACAACAUGAACAUCUAAUAAUGUGGUAUUAAUUGUAUUUUGCUCCUUUAAUGUGCACACCAUGGGAUCAUAGACAGUAGGUUGACCCUGGAUCCUCGCAGUCCCUGUCAUUGAUAGGUCAGAGAAAAGCAUCCCGGGACCCGGCCACCCCCUCACACUCCAUCUGUCUGAUGUGCGACCGGACUGAAAUUUCACACGCCAAACUGCUCGCUCAGCAUAAUUGAUGUGAACAUCCCCGUUUGAAGCCAAGAUGAACAACUGUCUCCUUCCCCGGAAUGAAUCCUUAGGGAUGGAUUUCAUCUACUUCCAAUCGUCGACCGGUGAAAAUAAUGACUUCGAGAGAUACACGUGCAUGUAACCUCUGAAUCUUAUUCGAGCGUAAGAUCACCAGUCAGUUCGUAUAAACAUCACUGUAUGAGAUAUAUCACUUAUUUUUUUAUGAUUUUAUAUGCGAUGCAUAACAGUCAAAUGUUUUCACCGAAAGAUGUCAUCAAUCUAUAUUUUGGAGAUCUUGGAUGUAUAUGACUAACGCGGUUUUAUAUUUGUAUGUCAAGUCAUUUUGUUUAUUGACUAUGAUGGUGUAUUAUGAUCAUACAGCAGAGAUGAACGGUGCUGUUUUUGUCUCGCUGCAUGAUACACUUUUUUCAGAGUAUUGAAUAUUGUCUGUGACAUGUACAUGAGCCAAAUCUAGAGAAGUUUAUAUUUAGCUCAUGUAGGCUGGAACAGAAGUCAUUUGCUGUGUGACAUGAUUAAUUUACACUGAAGAAAUACUGAAACGUUAUACACCAGCUGAUCGUACAAAAGCGAUUCGCAUCGUCUCGAGUGACCCGCUGUAACAUGCGACUUUCACGGAUUAAAUAAUUUAUUGAAAGACGUAUAGAUGCAUUAAACAUCACCGUGCCUGCAUGUAAAACUAUUCCUGACAAGAAUAAAUAGUCUUUGACCUACAGCGCUCCUCUUUAUAGACUGACAAGACAUCAAGCGGAUAAAAUAUCCACUUUGUCCCAUUGAGAUGAAUAAAUUUGCCGUACAGGUGUAGUUGAACAGGCAUUAAUCCCGAUACACUUCUUCACCGUCACAACAGAACUCAUAUUAUACCCAUGAAUGCUGUAAGAUGAAUCUGACACGAUUUUUCUGUCCUUCUCAUCUCUUUUCCAGCUCUAGCGUGCCUCUUGAUUUAGGCCGUGAUGUGGCUGCCUCUCUAAACAGUCUCUUUAUGAGACGCAGUACAUCAUAUUGAUUUCUGUGGGAAUGGGAUUUGUAGCAAGCAGAUCUCUUUUGCUGCCGAUGUUGUGGUUGUCAGAUGAACUCGCUCGUGUACGAGUGAGGAAAGGAGAUGCGGUUUGGUAUGUCUGAGCUAACCCGGUACUGGAAAAGGUAAACCGGCAUGUGGUUUCACAAUACAAUCUCUUGGUCAAUUCGUACAUUUUUUUACAAAGUGGCUAAUUGGAAUUUGUACAAUCUCGUUUUAGUACGAUAUGGUUUAGGGGUGGGGUAUUUCUUUUUUCUAAUAAUCAUACAAGGGGUGUCACAAUAUUCUGGUAUUGACAAUAACCAUGGUAUAAAAAACCUGGAUUAUCUGUAUUGUGUAAUACUACAUGAUAAUAUUAUAAUUCGGCACCCAUUUCAAAUUUUGCCAAAAGAGCCAACACUCUCUUUCUGCCUCACUACACUCAUAUUUUGAUUGCGAUUGGCCAAAAAAGAAAACACAAAAUAAAAGUGAAUUAAACUAAGUUAAAUUCUAAGAGUUAAAAGUGAAUUUAACUAGCAUUAUUUAUUUUAAAAAAUCAACAGAUAUCACAAUAAUAUUAUUAUUCUGAAAUAUUUUGGCCAUGUAGUGAAAAACUGAUAUGGUGACAUUAUUUAAAUCAUACAAAUGGAUUAGCCAUCUCAUAAAAUUUAAGUUAAAGUCCCAGUGAAAUUAAAAAUUACAAUGCCUAUUUUUUUCAUGAAAUAUUGCAGUGUUUAUUGUAAAUAGUUUAUCAACAUGGGCCAUUCUCUUUUUAAAAUUCGUGUGCCCUCAUAAUCUUUAGCUAAAAUAUGAAAAUGCACUUCCUUCCUGCAUGACUAUCCAUCUUAAAUGACGUACGUUAGGUGGCUUGGGUGGAGCAUUCGUUAACUCCUCCCCUUCAACUGUCAGUCUGCUGCCAGUUCCAUUUCAAAAUGCAGCGGCUGUUUUUAUACAUCCAAUCAAAUCGCAGAGAAAUACGAAAGCCACGCCCACUAUUUUUCUCAUUAGAAAUUCCAUUUCACUCGGAAAUGUGUCAAAAUCCAGAAGUAAAAACGAUCGGAACUUCCGGUUCGUGGGGACUUUAUGGUUAGAUUAGGAUCAGUCUGGGUUCAUGACUCAGAACCCACGCCCGCCCACUGUCUGUUUGCCGAAUCGAGAUGUGCGCAAAAUGACGUCUUAAGUCAUUCGUAAAAUUCUCACUGGGAAACAAAGGAGUGAAUGUCUCUGAGCAGACGUUCAUGCCAUUAGGCAGGAGUCCAAUCUGACUGACUUCAGCCCUGGCAAGAUUCCCGCUCUCUAAAUUUCAUGUCAUGACCGUGAAAGGAUAGCAGUAUGUAUAUUUUAUGUGGCCCUUUAUAAUGGGAUGCUACAUGCAGGUUGCCAGGUGGUGUGGAGGUGUACAGGUGUGCAUAAUUCAUGGGGUUCUUCGUCUCUCUCUGUCACAUUUUUUUCUGUGAGGAAGUGAGAGAUUGAAGUAGCCCACAGAAAGUCUUAAAUCCGACACUUUUAUUGACUUCUGCAUUAGUUCAGCGUCUUAGAAAGGAAACAAUUAGCUUUAAAAGGUAAAUAUGUGUGUGGGCUUAUUUGUAUUUGAGUGACUCAGGAUUCAGACACACCGGCUGGUUUUGACCUCUCAAUUUACAUGCUACCCUUCGUUGCUAAUUAAAUAAAGAGCAGCACACGUUCCGGCUCUUAUCUUGUUCUUGCGGAAUUGCGUGCCCUAUUUUGUGAAGAAUGACCUCAAUAUUUCAUUCAAAAAGGUGGAUGUGCACUAAUUGAAUGUAUUUAUACAAGGUUAUGACCCUUAAUGCACUCUGAGACUGAUGUACACUUCCUGCACUAUUCUGAUAUUUUUUCAGACACC
RNA transcript from Triplophysa rosa, 13865 nucleotides. It is a transcript of the gene named G protein-coupled receptor 85, with no coding region annotated. Lineage: Eukaryota; Metazoa; Chordata; Actinopteri; Cypriniformes; Nemacheilidae. The record is from RefSeq and is a predicted model, not a curated record. The transcript has 3 exons.